GUUCUCGCUUCGAUAGUACAUGUACUAAAACUUGAACGAUACAGAAAAUAUUAGUAGUUAUAGACCCUGCACGAGAAUGACUUAAAAAAUCUUAAAGCGUUACACAAUUUU
Small nuclear RNA from Danaus plexippus plexippus, 111 nucleotides. Lineage: Eukaryota; Metazoa; Arthropoda; Insecta; Lepidoptera; Nymphalidae. The record is from Rfam.